UACGAGGGGGGCGAGCGUUGUUCGGAAUUAUUGGGCGUAAAGGGUGCGUAGGUGCGGUUUGGUAAGUCUCGUGUGAAAUCUACAGGCUCAACUUGUAGUCUGCACGAGAAACUGCCGGGCUUGAGUAUGGGAGAGGUGAGUGGAAUUCCUGGUGUAGCGGUGAAAUGCGUAGAUAUCAGGAGGAACACCUGUGGCGAAAGCGGCUCACUGGACCAUAACUGACGCUGAUGCACGAAAGCUAGGGGAGCAAACAGG
This 255-nucleotide ribosomal RNA is filed under the name uncultured bacterium. Its description in RNAcentral is "partial 16S ribosomal RNA". It matches the Rfam family "Bacterial small subunit ribosomal RNA", at positions 524 to 776 of the family's 1533-position model. The record is from RNAcentral.